UACGGGGGGGGCAAGCGUUGUCCGGAAUCACUGGGCGUAAAGGGCGCGUAGGUGGUCUGAUAAGGGUGUGGUGAAAGCCCGGGGCUCAACCCCGGGUCGGCCGUGCCGACUGUUAGACUAGAGUGCUGUAGGGGCAGGCGGAAUUCCGGGUGUAGCGGUGGAAUGCGUAGAGAUCCGGAGGAAGACCGGUGGCGAAGGCGGCCUGCUGGGCAGUUACUGACACUGAGGCGCGACAGCGUGGGGAGCAAACAGG
Molecule: ribosomal RNA, 253 nt
Filed under: uncultured bacterium
Lineage: Bacteria
Description: partial 16S ribosomal RNA
Rfam family: Bacterial small subunit ribosomal RNA
Source: RNAcentral